UACAACAUAGAAUUAAUGCAUUGAAUUCCAUUAUAACUAUGAAUUUAAUCAUGCUCAAGAUAGAGUAGUAUUGGGAUGGGUGACCACCCAAGAAGUCCUAGUGUUUUAC
This is a non-coding RNA of Picea glauca (white spruce), 109 nucleotides long. NCBI's taxonomy places the organism in Eukaryota, Viridiplantae, Streptophyta, Pinopsida, Pinales, Pinaceae. The record is from Rfam.